This is a long non-coding RNA of Carassius gibelio (silver crucian carp), 1657 nucleotides long. RefSeq lists it as uncharacterized. NCBI's taxonomy places the organism in Eukaryota, Metazoa, Chordata, Actinopteri, Cypriniformes, Cyprinidae. The transcript is spliced from 3 exons. The record is from RefSeq and is a predicted model, not a curated record.
GAGAGUGCAGCGGGAGACUGAGACGAAGAUUAUGAGCCGUGAACAAUUAAGAUGCUUAAACUUGGCGAAAUUGUCAUUGUUAUUGGUUAAAAGAGUCGAAAAGGAGCAUAUGCACCAGAAAGAGGUGCAGAAGAAUCAUUAUCUGCAUUUUUGUUGGUUUUUUGCUAAUGAAAAAACAUUCAUUGAAUCUCGGCCAGGUUUUUGGUUUUUUCCUUGAAUUCUCUCUUCUGGAUAGAAGAUGGCGAGCCACCCAGCUUGAAUUUGGUGAUCUUCAUUUGAUUUGUGCGGAGUGCCUUUGAAUCCAGCACUUUGGUAGGACUGUACAAUUACAACCUAUGGAUCUCUCCUUCUAGAACCUUGCUUGAUAUUGAACCUAAAGGAACUUUACUUCCUGUGAAUUUGAACCCUAAUCUGAGCUCAGCAACGUGAACUGAAUGGACAGAACUGGUGAUCCUUAAUUCAUCAAAUCCCAAUACAAUUGUUCGCAAUGUAAAAACCUGUUACUAUUGUGAUGGAUACAGCUGCUCAAACAUAUUGAGCUGUUCAGGGAGUGAAGACCGCUGCAUUACAGCAACAGGGUCUGUUAAGGGCAGCCAACUGUGGGAAAUGGCUGUGUCUCUAAAGCCUUUUGUGAUUCUAAAACAUUAGUUAAUCUUUUCAGGACAUCUCAUGUUGUAAGGGGAACCUGUGUAACUAAAUCUGCUGCACUAAAUCCAGCAGCUCUGGAGAUUCUGCAGCAAAGCCACAAUCUGACAUUCUGAAUAUAGCUUGUGUUUCCUUGUUCUAUCAUUACAGGAAAUUAUCACACAUGUAAGUCCUUUAUGGUAGCUUUCUGCUUUAAAAUCUUUUUUUGAGUUUAACAUUUUGCUGGGUACAAAGCUAUAGCUAGUAAUCAUCUGAGGAAAAUCCCACUUUAUUCAUGUGUUUUGAGAAAUUAACAAAUGUAAUGUAAGUAAAUAAUCAAAUAAAAUUUUACUUUAUUUAUGUUUAUGAUUAAUACAACAGAACAUCAAGCUAUAUGUUUGAUUCAAACAGCGGUUCUCAAACAAUGGGGGCAUUUGCAAAUUGAAGGGGGCUCCAUGUCUUGCAAUAAUUUAAAUUUAGUUACAGAGCUGCAGACUGUGACCUUUUCCCUGCUGGUAGCCUAUCUGAAAUACACAAUUGAGUUUAUAGUUACAGUGUGUCUCUUCCAUUUGUUCCAUUCAUUUGUAAAUGUUUAUAAAACAGUAAUGUUUAUUAAGGCCAAAAGUAGCAAAAGUGGACAAAGAGCUCUUCACAACGUAAAAAAAACAUGAGGUGACUUUUACUGUUUCAGAUUUGAAAAACAAAAAGGCGCGAAUAAAGAAUCCUAAACAGACCCUUUACUUUGUGUAAAAACAACUUUUAAAGAACAAUGUUUUUUACAGAGCACUGCUGAAUUUAAGCUUGAGCAGCAAGAAAAAUAAUGUUUUUAUUGUGAUGAAAUUGAUCAACAAUUAAUAUGCAAUUCGUUUUUUACUAAGUAAUUUAUUUGAUCAGAUGGCGUGUGUAAGUGAAGUUUCCUCUGGCUUUCUACAUCCUGUUUUACUUGUAAUAGAUUCAGCAGCAAAGACAACCACAAAAACUGUCACAUGCAUUUCAAUUCAUGCAUAACUAAAUAAAGCUUCUUUUGUUGGUC